GCAAACUUGGUCAUUUAGAGGAAGUAAAAGUCGUAACAAGGUUUCCGUAGGUGAACCUGCGGAAGGAUCAUUAACGAGGAAAGGGUGCUUGCACCCCUACCCACCCGUGUUUACUGUACUUCUGUUGCUUUGGCGGGCCCGCUGUUCACAGCCGCUGGCACCUUUCGGUGCUGGCCAGCGCCCGUCAGAGGACUUUAGAACCUAUGUCAACUAUACCGUCUGAGUGUCUUUGAAUAGUUAAAACUUUCAACAAAGGAUCUCUUGGUUCUGGCAUCGAUGAAGAACGCAGC
RNAcentral lists this unclassified non-coding RNA (290 nucleotides) under uncultured fungus. RNAcentral's name for it is "partial contains small subunit ribosomal RNA, internal transcribed spacer 1, and 5.8S ribosomal RNA". The stretch from base 1 to 73 matches the Rfam family "Eukaryotic small subunit ribosomal RNA", at positions 1759 to 1831 of the family's 1831-position model. The record is from RNAcentral. Lineage: Eukaryota; Fungi.